This 1685-nucleotide ribosomal RNA is filed under the name Shigella boydii. Its description in RNAcentral is "bacterial LSU rRNA". It matches the Rfam family "Bacterial large subunit ribosomal RNA", at positions 1262 to 2925 of the family's 2925-position model. Lineage: Bacteria; Pseudomonadati; Pseudomonadota; Gammaproteobacteria; Enterobacterales; Enterobacteriaceae. The record is from RNAcentral.
UGUGAGGCAUGCUGGAGGUAUCAGAAGUGCGAAUGCUGACAUAAGUAACGAUAAAGCGGGUGAAAAGCCCGCUCGCCGGAAGACCAAGGGUUCCUGUCCAACGUUAAUCGGGGCAGGGUGAGUCGACCCCUAAGGCGAGGCCGAAAGGCGUAGUCGAUGGGAAACAGGUUAAUAUUCCUGUACUUGGUGUUACUGCGAAGGGGGGACGGAGAAGGCUAUGUUGGCCGGGCGACGGUUGUCCCGGUUUAAGCGUGUAGGCUGGUUUUCCAGGCAAAUCCGGAAAAUCAAGGCUGAGGCGUGAUGACGAGGCACUACGGUGCUGAAGCAACAAAUGCCCUGCUUCCAGGAAAAGCCUCUAAGCAUCAGGUAACAUCAAAUCGUACCCCAAACCGACACAGGUGGUCAGGUAGAGAAUACCAAGGCGCUUGAGAGAACUCGGGUGAAGGAACUAGGCAAAAUGGUGCCGUAACUUCGGGAGAAGGCACGCUGAUAUGUAGGUGAAGUCCCUCGCGGAUGGAGCUGAAAUCAGUCGAAGAUACCAGCUGGCUGCAACUGUUUAUUAAAAACACAGCACUGUGCAAACACGAAAGUGGACGUAUACGGUGUGACGCCUGCCCGGUGCCGGAAGGUUAAUUGAUGGGGUUAGCCGCAAGGCGAAGCUCUUGAUCGAAGCCCCGGUAAACGGCGGCCGUAACUAUAACGGUCCUAAGGUAGCGAAAUUCCUUGUCGGGUAAGUUCCGACCUGCACGAAUGGCGUAAUGAUGGCCAGGCUGUCUCCACCCGAGACUCAGUGAAAUUGAACUCGCUGUGAAGAUGCAGUGUACCCGCGGCAAGACGGAAAGACCCCGUGAACCUUUACUAUAGCUUGACACUGAACAUUGAGCCUUGAUGUGUAGGAUAGGUGGGAGGCUUAGAAGUGUGGACGCCAGUCUGCAUGGAGCCGACCUUGAAAUACCACCCUUUAAUGUUUGAUGUUCUAACGUUGACCCGUAAUCCGGGUUGCGGACAGUGUCUGGUGGGUAGUUUGACUGGGGCGGUCUCCUCCUAAAGAGUAACGGAGGAGCACGAAGGUUGGCUAAUCCUGGUCGGACAUCAGGAGGUUAGUGCAAUGGCAUAAGCCAGCUUGACUGCGAGCGUGACGGCGCGAGCAGGUGCGAAAGCAGGUCAUAGUGAUCCGGUGGUUCUGAAUGGAAGGGCCAUCGCUCAACGGAUAAAAGGUACUCCGGGGAUAACAGGCUGAUACCGCCCAAGAGUUCAUAUCGACGGCGGUGUUUGGCACCUCGAUGUCGGCUCAUCACAUCCUGGGGCUGAAGUAGGUCCCAAGGGUAUGGCUGUUCGCCAUUUAAAGUGGUACGCGAGCUGGGUUUAGAACGUCGUGAGACAGUUCGGUCCCUAUCUGCCGUGGGCGCUGGAGAACUGAGGGGGGCUGCUCCUAGUACGAGAGGACCGGAGUGGACGCAUCACUGGUGUUCGGGUUGUCAUGCCAAUGGCACUGCCCGGUAGCUAAAUGCGGAAGAGAUAAGUGCUGAAAGCAUCUAAGCACGAAACUUGCCCCGAGAUGAGUUCUCCCUGACUCCUUGAGAGUCCUGAAGGAACGUUGAAGACGACGACGUUGAUAGGCCGGGUGUGUAAGCGCAGCGAUGCGUUGAGCUAACCGGUACUAAUGAACCGUGAGGCUUAACCUU